Molecule: transfer RNA, 82 nt
Filed under: Colletotrichum orbiculare MAFF 240422
Lineage: Eukaryota; Fungi; Ascomycota; Sordariomycetes; Glomerellales; Glomerellaceae
Description: tRNA-Undet for anticodon ???
Rfam family: tRNA
About the family: Transfer RNA (tRNA) molecules are approximately 80 nucleotides in length. Their secondary structure includes four short double-helical elements and three loops (D, anti-codon, and T loops). Further hydrogen bonds mediate the characteristic L-shaped molecular structure. tRNAs have two regions of fundamental functional importance: the anti-codon, which is responsible for specific mRNA codon recognition, and the 3' end, to which the tRNAs corresponding amino acid is attached (by aminoacyl-tRNA synthetases). tRNAs cope with the degeneracy of the genetic code in two manners: having more than one tRNA (with a specific anti-codon) for a particular amino acid; and 'wobble' base-pairing, i.e. permitting non-standard base-pairing at the 3rd anti-codon position.
Source: RNAcentral
ACUUGCUUGACGUAGUGGUUUAACGUCUAGCUGGCUCUUACUAUUACAGCAAGAGUAGUAGGUUCGAAUCCUACAGCAAGUA